UUCUCGGUCGUAUAACGGUCAGUAUACAAGCUUGUCACGCUUGUGAUCCGGGUUCGAUUCCCGGCCGGGAAG
Pseudohyphozyma bogoriensis is the source of this 72-nucleotide non-coding RNA. NCBI's taxonomy places the organism in Eukaryota, Fungi, Basidiomycota, Microbotryomycetes, Chrysozymaceae. The record is from the annotation of a GenBank genome assembly.